AGCGAACGCUGGCGGCAGGCUUAACACAUGCAAGUCGAGCGGGCAUCUUCGGGUGUCAGCGGCGGACGGGUGAGUAACGCGUGGGAACGUGCCCUCUGGUUCGGAAUAACUCAGGGAAACUUGAGCUAAUACCGGAUACGCCCUUUUUGGGGAAAGGCUUGCUGCCGGAGGAUCGGCCCGCGUCUGAUUAGCUAGUUGGUGGGGUAACGGCCUACCAAGGCGACGAUCAGUAGCUGGUCUGAGAGGAUGAUCAGCCACACUGGGACUGAGACACGGCCCAGACUCCUACGGGAGGCAGCAGUGGGGAAUAUUGGACAAUGGGGGCAACCCUGAUCCAGCCAUGCCGCGUGAGUGAUGAAGGCCUUAGGGUUGUAAAGCUCUUUUAUCCGGGACGAUAAUGACGGUACCGGAGGAAUAAGCCCCGGCUAACUUCGUGCCAGCAGCCGCGGUAA
Molecule: ribosomal RNA, 452 nt
Filed under: uncultured bacterium
Lineage: Bacteria
Description: partial 16S ribosomal RNA
Rfam family: Bacterial small subunit ribosomal RNA
Source: RNAcentral